GGGGUGCUCGAGUGGCGAACGGGUGAGUAACACGUGAGUAACCUGCCCUUGACUUUGGGAUAACUUCAGGAAACUGGGGCUAAUACCGGAUAGGAGCUCCUGCUGCAUGGUGGGGUUGGAAAGUUUCGGCGGUUGGGGAUGGACUCGCGGCUUAUCAGCUUGUUGGUGGGGUAGUGGCUUACCAAGGCUUUGACGGGUAGCCGGCCUGAGAGGGUGACCGGCCACAUUGGGACUGAGAUACGGCCCAG
This 248-nucleotide ribosomal RNA is filed under the name uncultured Actinomycetales bacterium. RNAcentral describes it as "partial 16S ribosomal RNA". It matches the Rfam family "Bacterial small subunit ribosomal RNA", at positions 84 to 334 of the family's 1533-position model. Lineage: Bacteria; Bacillati; Actinomycetota; Actinomycetes; Actinomycetales. The record is from RNAcentral.